AUGAGUUACUACAUUUUUAUUAAAGAGCUGGACGGAACAACAAGAGCAGUAAGUGUGGAUUCAGAGGAGGAACUGAAGAACAUGACUGUUGAAGAGUUCAUAAGAAGAUUCAAUCCCGAAGACAAAUGGGACUUCAGAUUUAUCUUCGAGGGCAGACAGCUGGAGGAUGGUCGUACACUUGGUUCUUAUGGCAUAAAUGACUGUUCUACUAUUCAUGCAGUUCAGUGUCUACGUGGUGGAGACCCAAGCUGUGCACCUGAAGAUGGAGAUGAAGGAAUGCCCAGGACUGAAUCAAUGGAAGUAUUAGCUGAAAUGCAGAAAUGCCAAAAAAUAAAUGAAUAACUUCCCUUCAGUGCAGCGUCCAUAAAGUACAAGAGGCUGAAAUCAGAACAUAAUACAUGAUAUUGAAAUUAUGGUAGUAAAUUUGAACAAAAUAUGAAAAAACAGUGUUUAAAUAAAUUAAAGUCUCCGUUCUGUCCUUUUACGCUG
Molecule: long non-coding RNA, 489 nt
Organism: Cyprinus carpio (common carp)
Lineage: Eukaryota; Metazoa; Chordata; Actinopteri; Cypriniformes; Cyprinidae
Source: Ensembl